Paramuricea clavata is the source of this 329-nucleotide non-coding RNA. NCBI's taxonomy places the organism in Eukaryota, Metazoa, Cnidaria, Anthozoa, Malacalcyonacea, Plexauridae. The record is from the annotation of a GenBank genome assembly.
GGCAGUAGUAAUCAGUUCAUUGCAUGGUUCAUUGUCCUAUUGAUCUAACUAUGGAAUUUUGUAUUGAAUUCCGUAUUAUAGCUGGAGUAAUGCGAGCAACAAAAUUGCUGCAACUUGCAACAAAAUCUGAUUUCAACGCAUGUUAAUUGAAAAUGUUCACACAUAAAUUACAACGAGGCAACAUGUGUCAACAUUUCUACUUAAUCAACAUGCGUUGAAAUCAGAUUUUGUCUCCAGCUUAUGGGUUAGUGGUAAUCUGAAUAAAUUAGACUAUCAUGUAAUUAACAAAUGAACGGCCAACAACAAGGGCAAAUAAUGUUAGCCAAUCA